Long non-coding RNA from Calidris pugnax (ruff), 2455 nucleotides. RefSeq lists it as uncharacterized. NCBI's taxonomy places the organism in Eukaryota, Metazoa, Chordata, Aves, Charadriiformes, Scolopacidae. The transcript has 2 exons. The record is from RefSeq and is a predicted model, not a curated record.
ACAGCCCUGUGAGGGUUGGGAGACCGGCCUGUGGGACACAGCGCGUGAUGUGAUGCCUUCUCCUCUGGCACUGAUCCUCGGGGAAAUAACCCUUUGUCACCACUAGCAGAAGGCUGAGCAGAGCGCCUCCAACCACAAAUCUCUUCGCUUUGCUGGAUGGAAAAUUUCUCCACCCACCUGAUGAAUAACCACAGAUGAAGCCCUGGUGCGCUAGUGACUUUCCAUGGACACAUGUGAAGCUGAUGAACUGUGGAGCUUUUUUAGUUUGUAGGAGGGAAACUGAGGCACGUGCUCGCUGCGCAUCCGGCAAAAGCAUGUCGAUAACCAGUAAUGAGAGAGGAGUGCUCCGUCUGUUCAGACUAUUCAGCUCUUUGCACGGCUGCCCACGUGGCCAGGUAGUUGCCAUUAAAUAAGAUGAUUAAUUCCUCGACAAGUUGCUAUCUGGCCUAGCAGUCCAGCAUUUCCUUUUGGCAUCUGUGGCUGCUUUGAGGAAUGCAGCUUUAUAGAUUUUUACUAAUUAUCUAAUAGCUUUUCAAUCUCUUGUUUCAGUACGUGGAACUGGUGUUAAUUAAUUGCAGAUCUUCAGCAUACCAUUCUUAACUGAUUCCCCUAGUAAAUAUGUUUAACACUUGCCUUGGUUUCCUGUACAUGAUUCAUUCGGUUGGUAAGUGAUCCAUCUUUGUUUGCUGUCAAAGUCUUUGAGUUGGAAGAGGACUUUAAUCAUGUUACUUGGCUUUUCUGAAUAGGGAGAAGAAAUGGAGUCAAAUAAGCACGCAAUGGCAAUGCAGUUAAAAAAGAACCAUGGCCUGGGUUUCUUCCACCAAUAAAAAGUUGUGCAAGCUUCAAUUUCCCUUUCAUUUUCAUGAAGAACAUGCUGGAGACAUCUAUUCAGCCAAAGAAGUGAAAUUAAAACAAAGAAACGAAAACAUCUUGAAAGGGGGGAAGAAGGCACUUUCCCAGCUUAUGCGUUAAUUAAGACCAGCCAAAGCCAACGGCUUCAAAAGGAAGGAGGAAGCCAGCAGUAAGCACGGCUGCAACUGCUUUUAAUGGGCUCUAGCAAUGGCAUGCAUGCCAGACAAAGCCAUAGCAGGCUUUAAUGCAACAGUGCCAGUUCAAAGGCUAUGGCCCAACAGUUGGCAAAACUGAAGUUACUGAAUAGUAAAAUUGUUUCACGAGCAGAUUUGUCAGCAGCAGUAGGGGACAAAGGAACUUGUUCAGCAGAACACGAUCAUCUUGAGAACUAUAAACACUGCUGGUUUAAAGAUAAAAUCAAAGGCCUUGAGAGCAAAGCAGAAGUAGACAUAAAUAUAUGCAUAGUUGGCUUUCCUGAAGGCGAAGAGGUUUGCAUCCCUCUCAAACAAUUCAGAAAGAAGCUGUUAACUGCCCCAGGUUGCUCUUGCACCCUUAGCUCCUGCUGUUCUCCUGGAUGAAAGCCUGCCCAGAGAUGCAAGAACAUACAGCAACACUGGUAGGUUUUCUGCGCAUCCCAUCAGCAGUGGACAUCUGGGAAUCUGGCAGGAGAAUUUAUACCCUUCCCCUCCACAAAAAAGCUGAGUGCAACCUGCAACAUCCUAUUAUAAAUAUUUCAUACAAUAGAAAAAAAAAAAAAAGGAGUUGUCUAACAGCAGAAGACUGAGCUGUUAUUAUGUUUUUGACAUGCAUAUUUCUUCUCAGUGCUGUUCAACCUGUGUUUCUGAUCCAACUGACUGGGAAAACAGCUGGUAAUUUUCUAUUUCUUUUGACCAACAUUCCAAGUUCUCACUUUAAAGGCUUCCUGGGUCCCUUCAUCAGAGAUCAGCAGCACACGUGCAUCUUUUCAAGACAAUGAUAACUACAAGGGAGUCACCUAAAAUCAAAAUAAGUGUCUGUCUUUGCUUUAUUCCAAACUGGCACACGACACCAGUGUAAAUUAGUGAUGACACACAGUUUAUUGCUAUCAAAAACAGCAUUCAGAGAGAUGGAGCUGAGACACUGGAGGGAAGCGAUCAUUACCCUCAGGGAGGCUUUAGUGUCAAAGCUGUAUGAAUAUGUAUCCACUGAUAAAAGCCCGGCUCACGCUGCAGUGUUCAGACAAUAUCACAUUCUCAUGCGAUCCUGCUAUCAAAGGCCACAAAGUUUUUCCCUGGAUGUGCUCACGCAGCCUCUGUGUCUGAAUGAGAUCUUCCACUUUGAUCCGGAGAGACAUGACAGUCUGAAAAAUGUACCACAUCUACCACAUCCUUCAUGGUUUCUUCUCAUGUUUAGUCAUCCUCCACGUGAAAAAAACUCUACAUCUUGUUGCUAACUUAAUGUCACCUAGUUUCAGUUUCCCACCACUGAUUUCUGUGGCUUUCUCCGACAGAGAUAUCCCUCUCGUAGCUGCUGUAUUCUUCCUGAGAAAGCACUCCUGUAUUACAAGUACUUUACCUCUCAAACCCACUUUAAAUAUUAAAUCUCUUUUUAGUUCUCACCAAAA